RNAcentral lists this ribosomal RNA (366 nucleotides) under uncultured organism. RNAcentral describes it as "bacterial SSU rRNA". It matches the Rfam family "Bacterial small subunit ribosomal RNA", at positions 526 to 896 of the family's 1533-position model. The record is from RNAcentral.
CGUAGGUGGCGAGCGUUAUCCGGAUUUAUUGGGUUUAAAGGGUGCGUAGGCGGCUGAUUAAGUCAGCGGUGAAAGGUAGCAGCUUAACUGUUUUACAUGCCGUUGAUACUGGUUAGCUUGAGUUGACAGAAGGCAGAUAGAAUUUCUGGUGUAGCGGUGAAAUGCUUAGAUACCAGGAGGAAUACCGAUUGCGAAGGCAGUCUGCUGCAGUCACACUGACGCUGAGGCACGAAAGUGCGGGGAUCAAACAGGAUUAGAUACCCUGGUAGUCCGCACAGUAAACGAUGAUUACUAGUUGUUGGCGAAUAGUCAGUGACCAAGGGAAACCGAUAAGUAAUCCACCUGGGGAGUACGCCGGCAACGGUG